GACGAACGCUGGCGGCGUGCUUAACACAUGCAAGUCGAACGGAAAGGCCCUGCUUUUGUGGGGUGCUCGAGUGGCGAACGGGUGAGUAACACGUGAGUAACCUGCCCUUGACUUUGGGAUAACUUCAGGAAACUGGGGCUAAUACCGGAUAGGAGCUCCUGCUGCAUGGUGGGGGUUGGAAAGCUUCGGCGGCUGGGGAUGGACUCGCGGCUUAUCAGCUUGUUGGUGGGGUAGUGGCUUACCAAGGCUUUGACGGGUAGCCGGCCUGAGAGGGUGACCGGCCACAUUGGGACUGAGAUACGGCCCAGACUCCUACGGGAGGCAGCAGUGGGGAAUAUUGCACAAUGGGCGGAAGCCUGAUGCAGCAACGCCGCGUGCGGGAUGACGGCCUUCGGGUUGUAAACCGCUUUCGCCUGUGACGAAGCGUGAGUGACGGUAAUGGGUAAAGAAGCACCGGCUAACUACGUG
RNAcentral lists this ribosomal RNA (468 nucleotides) under uncultured bacterium. RNAcentral's name for it is "partial 16S ribosomal RNA". It matches the Rfam family "Bacterial small subunit ribosomal RNA", at positions 28 to 507 of the family's 1533-position model. The record is from RNAcentral.